ACGGGUGAGUAACGCGUGGGAACGUGCCUUCCGGUUCGGAAUAACCCUGGGAAACUAGGGCUAAUACCGGAUACGCCCUUAUGGGGAAAGGUUUACUGCCGGAAGAUCGGCCCGCGUCUGAUUAGCUAGUUGGUGGGGUAACGGCCUACCAAGGCGACGAUCAGUAGCUGGUCUGAGAGGAUGAUCAGCCACACUGGGACUGGGACACGGCCCAGACUCCUACGGGAGGCAGCAGUGGGGAAUAUUGGACAAUGGGCGCAAGCCUGAUCCAGCCAUGCCGCGUGAGUGAUGAAGGCCUUAGGGUUGUAAAGCUCUUUUAUCCGGGACGAUAAUGACGGUACCGGAGGAAUAAGCCCCGGCUAACUUCGUGCCAGCAGCCGCGGUAAUACGAAGGGGGCUAGCGUUGCUCGGAAUCACUGGGCGUAAAGGGCGCGUAGGCGGCGUUUUAAGUCGGGGGUGAAAGCCUGUGGCUCAACCACAGAAUGGCCUUCGAUACUGGGACGCUUGAGUAUGGUAGAGGUUGGUGGAACUGCGAGUGUAGAGGUGAAAUUCGUAGA
Molecule: ribosomal RNA, 557 nt
Filed under: uncultured Methylobacterium sp.
Lineage: Bacteria; Pseudomonadati; Pseudomonadota; Alphaproteobacteria; Hyphomicrobiales; Methylobacteriaceae
Description: bacterial SSU rRNA
Rfam family: Bacterial small subunit ribosomal RNA
Source: RNAcentral